Molecule: ribosomal RNA, 253 nt
Filed under: uncultured bacterium
Lineage: Bacteria
Description: partial 16S ribosomal RNA
Rfam family: Bacterial small subunit ribosomal RNA
Source: RNAcentral
UACGUAGGGUCCGAGCGUUGUCCGGAGUUAUUGGGCGUAAAGAGCUCGUAGGCGGUCUGUCGCGUCGGUUGUGAAAACCUGGGGCUCAACUCCAGGCCUGCAAUCGAUACGGGCAGACUAGAGUUCGGUAGGGGAGACUGGAAUUCCUGGUGUAGCGGUGAAAUGCGCAGAUAUCAGGAGGAACACCGGUGGCGAAGGCGGGUCUCUGGGCCGAAACUGACGCUGAGGAGCGAAAGCGUGGGGAGCGAACAGG